Spinacia oleracea (spinach) is the source of this 1036-nucleotide long non-coding RNA. RefSeq lists it as uncharacterized. NCBI's taxonomy places the organism in Eukaryota, Viridiplantae, Streptophyta, Magnoliopsida, Caryophyllales, Amaranthaceae. The transcript is spliced from 3 exons. The record is from RefSeq and is a predicted model, not a curated record.
CAAAUUUCCUCAAAACAUAAUAGACAUCUCCAUCCUCCACCUUUCAUCUCUUUCAUCCUCCGUCCUCCAUCUUCCAUACAUACAACGCUCCAACAAUUGCUAAUACCAGUCGUCAGCCAUCAUAGUGUAAUAUAUUGAGAUUAAAUAAUCCAACAACUUUGCAUUAAUGUCUCUCAUACUCUUACAGAGUAUAAGGGCUUUGAUUUUCUAUUUUUCAAACCCUAAAUUAUGAAGGGGAUGAACAAAUUAAUUGUGCGAUAUGAUGAGAAAUCAGAUACCCAGGUUUGCAUUGAUCGGAAGGGGGAAAUUUCAUCGGAUGCCCGGUUCCAAUUAAUUUUGUGGUUUUAAUCGUUGUCUCGAUCGGGUUUUAUCGAAUUCGCGGGGAUCCAAUUUCAGGAUCAAGAAGAUGGAUUGGAUUGGAUAGCAAAUGAAGAUUAAAGUUGACAUUGAGAAUCAUGCACACACGUAAGGUAAACCAGUUGAAGAUGAAAAGAUAGAAGACAUUUAGUUUUGGAUUAUACAUUUUAGUUUUGAAUAUGAUCAUUUGGUUUUAUUUCGAACAUAAUAAUGUACUCCCUCCGUCCCGGAAUACUCGACCCGGUUUGACCGGCACAGAGUUUAAGGGACUUGAAUUGACUUAUUUAAUUUAAUAGGUAGUAGUUGAUAGUGGUGUAUUAUUUUAAUGUAGUUAGUGGGAGGUGGGUUAAGAGAUGGAGUUGGGGAGAGUAGGGGUUGAAUUUUUAAUUAUUUUUUGUAUGGAAAAGGGGUAGGUGGGUUAAUAGGGGUGGAGUGAGAAAUAAUAUAAUAUUGUUAGAAUAUUUCCAUUUUCAGAAACAGGUCAAGUAUUAAGGGACGGUCCGAUAAGGAAAACAGGUCAAGUAUUCCGGGACGGAGGGAGUAAUUUUCAUAGAUCAUACAUCAAAUACAUUAAAGAGUAGUUUAUUAGUUUAACCUUCAAAAUACAAUUGCACAUUCGUGCAUGCAAUAACUAUUACAGAUUCAUAUUAUUAUUGAGGGUUGAUUCCUUCUUGUGUCU